CGAUAAAUUAAUGACACUUUAAAGCCCGCCCACGUCACCACUAAGCCUCUUACUUCGGGAAAAUUAACUGGAAAAAUCCGUUGCUGAUGGAGAAAAUGCCGCAAAGGGCCGGCUUAAAAUCCCGCUGCCCGCAACAAAUGAAAAAUUCAGAGGAUCGUGGACGCGGCAGCCUAUGGUGUAAUUAACUGUCCAGCUGGCGCAUAAUUACAAUUUUGAAAUUGUAUGCCCUGAAUAUGUGGCAUAUGUGCGGAAGAAAGGUGCAUUGUGUGCCGAAUGCGAUGGCUCACAUAUCAGCCGUGGUUUUUUGGCCAGGAAUGGGGGAGUGAGGAGUGGUGGUCAUCUGAUAUGGUGGAUGGCCUAGACAAUGGAUAAUAGAUGCUGGUCAUCGUUUGUUGGCUCAGUCCACUGGCAUUAUGCGUUAUUCUGCGGCCAACGAUCAUCAUCAUCGGCCAUCCAGGCAUCAGGCAUUGCUGGGCGCUAUUUGCGGUUUUAAUUAUGUCCAGCUCGUGGAACGCAGCAACGCGGCGAAAAACAAUGCGAAAUAUGGGGGUGGGCUUGGGGCUUAAAUGGAAUAUGGGGACGAGGCAGUUGCAUUGUUGCAGCGAUUGAAAUAAAUGAUGCGAGAUGGGACUACUGAA
Molecule: long non-coding RNA, 638 nt
Organism: Drosophila subpulchrella
Lineage: Eukaryota; Metazoa; Arthropoda; Insecta; Diptera; Drosophilidae
Exons: 2
Source: RefSeq, a predicted model, not a curated record